This 440-nucleotide ribosomal RNA is filed under the name uncultured Pseudomonas sp. RNAcentral's name for it is "bacterial SSU rRNA". It matches the Rfam family "Bacterial small subunit ribosomal RNA", at positions 358 to 790 of the family's 1533-position model. The record is from RNAcentral. Lineage: Bacteria; Pseudomonadati; Pseudomonadota; Gammaproteobacteria; Pseudomonadales; Pseudomonadaceae.
GGAAUAUUGGACAAUGGGCGAAAGCCUGAUCCAGCCAUGCCGCGUGUGUGAAGAAGGUCUUCGGAUUGUAAAGCACUUUAAGUUGGGAGGAAGGGCAGUAAGCGAAUACCUUGCUGUUUUGACGUUACCGACAGAAUAAGCACCGGCUAACUCUGUGCCAGCAGCCGCGGUAAUACAGAGGGUGCAAGCGUUAAUCGGAAUUACUGGGCGUAAAGCGCGCGUAGGUGGUUUGUUAAGUUGGAUGUGAAAUCCCCGGGCUCAACCUGGGAACUGCAUUCAAAACUGACAAGCUAGAGUAUGGUAGAGGGUGGUGGAAUUUCCUGUGUAGCGGUGAAAUGCGUAGAUAUAGGAAGGAACACCAGUGGCGAAGGCGACCACCUGGACUGAUACUGACACUGAGGUGCGAAAGCGUGGGGAGCAAACAGGAUUAGAUACCCCUG